CGAGACCUCAGGUCAGGCGGGGCUACCCGCUGAGUUUAAGCAUAUCAAUAAGCGGAGGAAAAGAAACUAACAAGGAUUCCCCUAGUAACGGCGAGCGA
This 98-nucleotide ribosomal RNA is filed under the name Nanogalactia pretiosa. Its description in RNAcentral is "Galactia pretiosa partial 26S ribosomal RNA". It matches the Rfam family "Eukaryotic large subunit ribosomal RNA", at positions 1 to 96 of the family's 3401-position model. The record is from RNAcentral. Lineage: Eukaryota; Viridiplantae; Streptophyta; Magnoliopsida; Fabales; Fabaceae.